RNAcentral lists this unclassified non-coding RNA (231 nucleotides) under Hevea brasiliensis (rubber tree). The record is from RNAcentral. Lineage: Eukaryota; Viridiplantae; Streptophyta; Magnoliopsida; Malpighiales; Euphorbiaceae.
CGGCUGCAUACGACUGACUUCCGCGAAAACCUUUACCCCUCAGCUUCCAUGAAAAUUGGAUCACAUCUACACAAGCUCCAUAGUUUACAGCAGAAGCAACGAAAUACACGUCAAAUAAUGGAUGGAAGCAUGAAGAAAGAGGAGGAGAAGGAGAGUGACAGAGAGAAGAAGGUAGUUAAGGGAGAUUGAAUUGAAAUGGAGAGCUGAGAGUUGGGAUUUCGAACGGGUAUG